RNAcentral lists this ribosomal RNA (217 nucleotides) under Campeiostachys nutans. Its description in RNAcentral is "Elymus nutans partial small subunit ribosomal RNA". The stretch from base 39 to 217 matches the Rfam family "Eukaryotic small subunit ribosomal RNA", at positions 684 to 864 of the family's 1831-position model. Lineage: Eukaryota; Viridiplantae; Streptophyta; Magnoliopsida; Poales; Poaceae. The record is from RNAcentral.
GGAUUCUAUCGUUGGUCGGGCUAACAAGUCUGUACUGGUGUGUAGAAUUUCUACCUUCUGGGGAACUAUCAUGUUAUUAAUUUAGCGUGGUGGGAAACCAGGACUUUUACCUUGAGAAAAUUAGAGUGUUCAAAGCAGGCCUAUGCCUGAAUACAUUAGCAUGGAAUAAUAGAAUAGGACGUGUGGUUCUAUUUUGUUAGUUUCUAGAAUCGCCGUA